This 274-nucleotide ribosomal RNA is filed under the name uncultured bacterium. RNAcentral's name for it is "partial 16S ribosomal RNA". It matches the Rfam family "Bacterial small subunit ribosomal RNA", at positions 523 to 796 of the family's 1533-position model. The record is from RNAcentral.
AUACGGAGGGUGCAAGCGUUACUUGGAAUCACUGGGCGUAAAGCGCGCGCAGGCGGCUAUUUAAGUUGGAUGUGAAAGCCUACGGCUCAACCGUAGAACUGCAUCCAAAACUAUUUAGCUAGAGUGUGGGAGAGGAAGAUGGAAUUAGUUGUGUAGGGGUAAAAUCCGUAGAGAUAACUAGGAAUACCAAAAGCGAAAGCAAUCUUCUGGAACACUACUGACGCUGAGGCGCGAAAGCGUGGGGAGCAAACGGGAUUAGAAACCCUAGUAGUCC